RNAcentral lists this ribosomal RNA (382 nucleotides) under uncultured bacterium. Its description in RNAcentral is "bacterial SSU rRNA". It matches the Rfam family "Bacterial small subunit ribosomal RNA", at positions 355 to 754 of the family's 1533-position model. The record is from RNAcentral.
UCGGGAAUUUUGGGCAAUGGGCGAAAGCCUGACCCAGCAACGCCGCGUGAAGGAUGAAGUAUUUCGGUAUGUAAACUUCGAAAGAAUAGGAAGAAUAAAUGGCGGUACUAUUUAUAAGGUCCGGCUAACUACGUGCCAGCAGCCGCGGUAAUACGUAGGGACCAAGCGUUGUUCGGAUUUACUGGGCGUAAAGGGCGCGUAGGCGGCAAUUCAAGUCAUCUGUGAAAUCUCCGGGCUUAACUCGGAACGGUCAGAUGAUACUGCUUUGCUAGAGUGCAGAAGGGGCAAUCGGAAUUCUUGGUGUAGCGGUGAAAUGCGUAGAUAUCAAGAGGAACACCUGAGGUGAAGACGGGUUGCUGGGCUGACACUGACGCUGAGGCGC